Molecule: ribosomal RNA, 447 nt
Filed under: Triticum aestivum (bread wheat)
Lineage: Eukaryota; Viridiplantae; Streptophyta; Magnoliopsida; Poales; Poaceae
Description: partial small subunit ribosomal RNA
Source: RNAcentral
AUGGCGAACAGAAGGAUUCAGAAGGAGCUCAUGGAUUUGCAAAAGGAUCCACCAACAUCAUGCAGCGCUGGGCCUGCUGGGGCGGAUCUAUUCCACUGGCAGGCCACAAUCAUGGGCCCUGGUGAUAGCCCCUACUCAGGAGGGGUGUUCUUUGUCAACAUCCAUUUCCCUCCUGAUUACCCCUUUAAGCCUCCAAAAGUGAAUUUCCAAACAAAGGUGUAUCACCCGAACAUCAACUCCAACGGCAGCAUCUGCCUGGACAUCCUCAAGGAGCAGUGGAGCCCGGCGCUAACCAUAUCCAAGGUCCUACUCUCCAUCAGCUCCCUGCUCACCGACCCCAACCCCGACGACCCCCUUGUCCCGGAGAUCGCGCAGCUCUACAAGAACCAGAGAGCCCGCUACGAGGAGACCGCGAGGGCCUGGACCCAGAAGUACGCCAUGGGCUGA